Molecule: ribosomal RNA, 95 nt
Filed under: Lachnospiraceae bacterium
Lineage: Bacteria; Bacillati; Bacillota; Clostridia; Lachnospirales; Lachnospiraceae
Description: partial 23S ribosomal RNA
Rfam family: Bacterial large subunit ribosomal RNA
Source: RNAcentral
AAGACCCCUUAAAGACGAUAAGGUAGAUAGGCUUCAGGUGGAAGUGCGGUAACGCACGGAGCUGAGAAGUACUAAUCGGUCGAGGGCUUGACCUG